Molecule: long non-coding RNA, 1553 nt
Organism: Myotis brandtii (Brandt's bat)
Lineage: Eukaryota; Metazoa; Chordata; Mammalia; Chiroptera; Vespertilionidae
Exons: 3
Source: RefSeq, a predicted model, not a curated record
GCCUGAUCUCAGAUAACUGCAGCUUUAGGACAUUGUGUGCAGUCUCAUCACAGAUGUGAUCUCACUGAGGAUUCAUAUCUCCUUUAUGAGAUAGCUGGUGCUGUCAUCUCAUCCCCAUUUUACAGAUGAGGAAACAGAGAUACAGGUGGAGUCUCAAGCCGCUGGAGACGCAGUGCCUCCUGUCCUCAGUCAGGGCCUGUGAUCUGGUCACCACCAACCUGAAUCUCAGAGUGUGGGCAUGAUGGCCCCGAUGCCAAGAGCUUCGUGCUGAACCUGGGCAACAACAUGUGCCUGUACUUCAGCCUUCCCUCCAGUGCACAUGGGGACGCCAACACCAUUGUGUGUAGCAGCCAGGACGGUAGGACCCGGGGACCGAGCAGUGGGAGUCUGCCUUUCCCUUCCAGCCUGGGAGUGUCAUGGAGGGAGCUGUGCGUCGCCUCUGACAGGCAGACCUGGCCAUCAUGCUGCCAGAUGGAUACACUUUCAAGUUCCCCAACCUGGAGGCUGUCAAGUACCUGGCAGCGGAGGGAGGCUUCAAGACCCAGUGUGUGGCCAUUGAGUGAAGGCAACCAACCCAUGGCCCCCAAUAAAGGCCCCCAACCAACCCUCUGUUCCCCCUGGAAAAAAAAGACCCAAACUUCUGUUAUAGUGUUAGGUACUUACUGGUUCUUGUUUUUCAAAGUGACAUGUCAUAAAUAUGCCUUUGAAAAUACCCGGUGAAACAUGAAAAAGAACGAGGAAGAUCUUUAUGAAUGGAUUUAGAGUAAUUUUUAGGAUAUAUUGUUAACUGAAAGAAGCAAGGUACAAAAAUGUGUAUAGCAGGCUAUAGUUUGCCCAGAAAAUGUGUGUGUGUGUGUGUAGCAAAAAGAAACACAGUAAGGAUAAGCCAGAAAUUAAUAAAAUCUAUAAGGAAGGGGAAGGGGUUGGGGUGUUAGGAAUGGAUAUGAGAACACGUGAAUGUCUUAUAUGCCUGGAAAAUUAAAUUAAAUUCAACGGAUGGAAAGAAGCAAGCUCCAAAAUUAAAAUAUAGUAAUAAAGCAAAUGAAUCUAGCUAUAUUGUAUUAAUAAAGUAACCACAUAGAGAAAAGAAUUGAUUCAAGUAAAUUUUGAUAUCAGGACUCUGACUGACCAUCCCUUAGUCACUAAGGCUUAGUGGGAUAUAUUCUAAGACCAAAAAUAAUUUCAAUGACAUAUAAAGCUUUAUUAUGUUUAUUGGUUAUUAGCAAUGAUAGCAUUAUAAUUUUGAAAUGGUAUAUAUAUAUUGUCAGACAAAGCAAAUAAGUGGAUAUAAUAAUAUUAUUAGAAAUUAAGACUUCACUGUAAGGGAAAAGAAAUAAAAAUAGAAAAUAAAAGAAGUUUAAAUAAACAUUGUCUAUUAAAUUCAAAUAUAUGGAGUCUUAAGUAUAUAUAUUUCCUAGCUUUGCCCACUUGAAAGGACUUAAACAUAAUGACACUUAGGGGAGUGCGCACACUUAUUGCUCAGAUCUUGAUGUGAAUAUUAUUUUCCAUUAAAAACAAAAAAAACAAGCAAACAAAAAACAAAAGCCUGACUG